RNAcentral lists this long non-coding RNA (702 nucleotides) under Strigops habroptila (Kakapo). RNAcentral's name for it is "lncRNA (ENSSHBG00005010561.1)". The record is from RNAcentral. Lineage: Eukaryota; Metazoa; Chordata; Aves; Psittaciformes; Psittacidae.
GAAUUUGUUCUUGCCAGUGAUACUGUUUGGAGGUUCAGCUCUGUUUUUGCUGCCUGUUACUGCUGUCACCCAGGAUUAAAAGCUGUAGAUAUCCCAGGGCUGCGGCAAGGGCUUUCAAUGACAUGGAUGAGGACUGCAGAGGUGCAUCAGAACAGUGUGGGCAAUGACUUCUGGGAAGAUCAGGAAAAAAUAAAGUAUGGCUAAUGGACCUGGGUUUCUCUUUCUUCCCUGCUGGCAGUCAUUCAUGGUAACACAAACCUGGGGAUGCUGCAACAUCAUGCAACGCUCUAUACUGGCUUUGAUAGUCCACCAGUGCCUGCAGAAGGUCUCCCUGGCCUAUCUGAGUCUCCUCCCCGGUGAGCAGUUCAGCUUGGUGCCAUCCACAAGAGCGGAGAGCUUUGGAAGGAGCCCACUGAAGGCAUGCUAGCAAGACCCUGAGUCACAGGCAGAGAAACUUUCCUAACUCAUCACCAUAUACUGGCCUCAGAUCCUCUCUGGAGCAGCUACCAGAGCGGCUGAACUUUGCUGUUCCCUGCUGUGCUGCCCAGUCUAGCUGGUACUGUGUGAGCAUGAGGUCCUCACCCUGGUCCUGCCCCUGGUGACGGGCUAUCCCUGCUUCAGCUGCAUCACCACACACCAGAUGUGCAGGAGGCUGCGAAGAGCUGCGCUCCGUGAGCAAAGGUGCCCUUUUAUAAGAAAAAA